AAGACUAUAAUUCACAGGAUCAUUUCUGUAGUCAGUCUUCAAUUACUUUCAUUGCAAAAUGAAAAAUCACUAAGUUAAGAUCCCCGAUCGGUUUAUAUGGUAGCUAUAUCAACACGUGGA
Stomoxys calcitrans (stable fly) is the source of this 120-nucleotide non-coding RNA. The record is from Rfam. Lineage: Eukaryota; Metazoa; Arthropoda; Insecta; Diptera; Muscidae.